GACGAACGCUGGCGGCGUGCUUAACACAUGCAAGUCGAACGAUGAAGCCGGAGCUUGCUCUGGUGAAUUAGUGGCGAACGGGUGAGUAACACGUGAGUAACCUGCCCUUGACUCUGGGAUAACUGCUAGAAAUGGUAGCUAAUACCGGAUACGACCCUCGGAGGCAUCUCCAGGGGGUGGAAAGAAUUUCGGUCAAGGAUGGACUCGCGGCCUAUCAGCUUGUUGGUGGGGUGAUGGCCUACCAAGGCGACGACGGGUAGCCGGCCUGAGAGGGUGACCGGCCACACUGGGACUGAGACACGGCCCAGACUCCUACGGGAGGCAGCAGUGGGGAAUAUUGCACAAUGGGCGCAAGCCUGAUGCAGCAACGCCGCGUGAGGGAUGACGGCCUUCGGGUUGUAAACCUCUUUUAGUAGGGAAGAAGCGAAAGUGACGGUACCUGCAAAAAAAGCACCGGCUAACUACGUGCCAGCAGCCGCGGUAA
RNAcentral lists this ribosomal RNA (484 nucleotides) under uncultured bacterium. Its description in RNAcentral is "partial 16S ribosomal RNA". It matches the Rfam family "Bacterial small subunit ribosomal RNA", at positions 28 to 523 of the family's 1533-position model. The record is from RNAcentral.